UACGUAGGGGGCAAGCGUUAUCCGGAUUUACUGGGUGUAAAGGGAGCGUAGACGGCAGCGCAAGUCUGGAGUGAAAUCCCAUGGCUUAACCAUGGAACUGCUUUGGAAACUGUGCAGCUGGAGUGCAGGAGAGGUAAGCGGAAUUCCUAGUGUAGCGGUGAAAUGCGUAGAUAUGUGGAAGAACACCGAUGGCGAAGGCAGCCUCCUGGGACGCAACUGACGCUCAUACACGAAAGCGUGGGGAGCAAACAGG
This 253-nucleotide ribosomal RNA is filed under the name uncultured Eubacteriales bacterium. RNAcentral's name for it is "uncultured Clostridiales bacterium partial 16S ribosomal RNA". It matches the Rfam family "Bacterial small subunit ribosomal RNA", at positions 524 to 776 of the family's 1533-position model. Lineage: Bacteria; Bacillati; Bacillota; Clostridia; Eubacteriales. The record is from RNAcentral.